Labeo rohita (rohu) is the source of this 260-nucleotide long non-coding RNA. RefSeq lists it as uncharacterized. Lineage: Eukaryota; Metazoa; Chordata; Actinopteri; Cypriniformes; Cyprinidae. The record is from RefSeq and is a predicted model, not a curated record. The transcript is spliced from 3 exons.
AAGAAGAAUUCUGAUCUCAAAGAGAGCACCAAAACAGGACGUGAUGGAGGAGAUGUAUAUGAGAGCUUCAGAGAAGAGAGUCAGACAUGAACUAGAGGAGAAACUGAGAGUGAGAGACAAUGAAAUCAAAGAGUUACAGCAGAAGAUCAGGACACUGGAAAUACAGAGAGAAAUCAGCAACAGCAUCUCCAUGAUCCUGGCUGGACCACAUGUGUUUCUCUUACUGAUACCAGUGGCACGAUUCACUGAAGAGGAAGUAA